AUGCAAGUCGAACGGAGAAUUUUAUUUCGGUAGAAUUCUUAGUGGCGAACGGGUGAGUAACGCGUAGGCAACCUACCCUUUAGACGGGGACAACAUUCCGAAAGGAGUGCUAAUACCGGAUGUGAUCAUCUUGCCGCAUGGCAGGAUGAAGAAAGAUGGCCUCUACAAGUAAGCUAUCGCUAAAGGAUGGGCCUGCGUCUGAUUAGCUAGUUGGUAGUGUAACGGACUACCAAGGCGAUGAUCAGUAGCCGGUCUGAGAGGAUGAACGGCCACAUUGGGACUGAGACACGGCCCAAACUCCUACGGGAGGCAGCAGUGGGGAAUCUUCCGCAAUGGACGAAAGUCUGACGGAGCAACGCCGCGUGAGUGAUGAAGGAUUUCGGUCUGUAAAGCUCUGUUGUUUAUGACGAACGUGCAGUGUGUGAACAAUGCAUUGCAAUGACGGUAGUAAACGAGGAAGCCACGGCUAACUACGUGCCAGCAGCCGCGGUAAUACGUAGGUGGCGAGCGUUGUCCGGAAUUAUUGGGCGUAAAGAGCAUGUAGGCGGCUUAAUAAGUCGAGCGUGAAAAUGCGGGGCUCAACCCCGUAUGGCGCUGGAAACUGUUAGGCUUGAGUGCAGGAGAGGAAAGGGGAAUUCCCAGUGUAGCGGUGAAAUGCGUAGAUAUUGGGAGGAACACCAGUGGCGAAGGCGCCUUUCUGGACUGUGUCUGACGCUGAGAUGCGAAAGCCAGGGUAGCGAACGGGAUUAGAUACCCCGGUAGUCCUGGCCGUAAACGAUGGGUACUAGGUGUAGGAGGUAUCGACCCCUUCUGUGCCGGAGUUAACGCAAUAAGUACCCCGCCUGGGG
RNAcentral lists this ribosomal RNA (848 nucleotides) under uncultured bacterium. RNAcentral's name for it is "bacterial SSU rRNA". It matches the Rfam family "Bacterial small subunit ribosomal RNA", at positions 55 to 878 of the family's 1533-position model. The record is from RNAcentral.